RNAcentral lists this ribosomal RNA (482 nucleotides) under uncultured bacterium. Its description in RNAcentral is "partial 16S ribosomal RNA". It matches the Rfam family "Bacterial small subunit ribosomal RNA", at positions 30 to 507 of the family's 1533-position model. The record is from RNAcentral.
AUUGAACGCUGGCGGCAUGCCUUACACAUGCAAGUCGAACGGUAACGGGCCUUCGGGUGCCGACGAGUGGCGAACGGGUGAGUAAUACAUCGGAACGUGCCCGAUCGUGGGGGAUAACGAGGCGAAAGCUUUGCUAAUACCGCAUACGAUCUACGGAUUAAAGCAGGGGACCGCAAGGCCUUGCGCGGACGGAGCGGCCGAUGGCAGAUUAGGUAGUUGGUGGGAUAAAAGCUUACCAAGCCGACGAUCUGUAGCUGGUCUGCGAGGAUGAUCAGCCACAAGGGGAAGGAGAAACGGCCCAGACUCCUACGGGAGGCAGCAGUGGGGAAUUUUGGACAAUGGGCGCAAGCCUGAUCCAGCCAUGCCGCGUGCAGGAUGAAGGACUUCGGGUUGUAAACUGAUUUUGUACGGAACGAAAAGCCUUCUUUUAAUACAGGAGGGUCAUGACGGUACCGGAAGAAUAAGCACCGGCUAACUACGUG